Molecule: non-coding RNA, 93 nt
Filed under: [Clostridium] ultunense Esp
Lineage: Bacteria; Bacillati; Bacillota; Tissierellia; Tissierellales; Tepidimicrobiaceae
Description: ylbH
Rfam family: ylbH leader
About the family: This family is a putative regulatory RNA structure that is found upstream of the ylbH gene in B. subtilis and related low GC Gram-positive bacteria.
Source: RNAcentral
AAAAAAGGAGCACCUGCGGGGUACGCAGAUGCUCAAUUGGGAGAGGAGAAACCGGAGGAAGAGCUUAUGGGGAAACGUAAGUCUUCUCCGCGG